Long non-coding RNA from Epinephelus fuscoguttatus (brown-marbled grouper), 739 nucleotides. RefSeq lists it as uncharacterized. The transcript is spliced from 3 exons. The record is from RefSeq and is a predicted model, not a curated record. NCBI's taxonomy places the organism in Eukaryota, Metazoa, Chordata, Actinopteri, Perciformes, Serranidae.
ACUUCCCACCUUAAGUGUCUGAGAAGCGCCGUGUCUUUGACGGAGUAUAAAGGAAGCUGAGGGAGGCGGGAAUCAAACAUGGUCUCCUCUUCCCCGCACGUCUGAUUUUCACUGUUGGAACUGAACAGAAAGUAUUCCAGUCGCCUGCUGAGGCCGAGGCAUUCAUAGACAGGUGUGUUGUGUCCACCGCCGUACAGCGAGGGACCCAUCACCGCGCUGAUGUUUCCACAGAUGCUGCGUGAGACCAACCCGCUGUUUUCUGUUUUCCCACCUUGACUUUGAACUGAUUUCUGCCGAAUUUAGCUUACAAAAAUAUGCGUCAUGGACUUGAGGGUGGACGGUGCCGUUCGGAGAGCCCGCCGAUAAGAAUUUUCAAGUGUGUAGAAAAAUCCGGCUAGCUGUUAUCCUCCGAUACCCCGAACAAGUUUUGUGGAUUAAAAAACUACAGUGGACUUCUUGUCGGCAUGAGGGGGAGGACUCCGACCCCAGGACCACCUGAGCCUUUGAGAGGAGAUGCACUUCAAAAUAUUAUUUUAAUGGCAUUUCUCCUUUAUCUGAAAGCCCACAGUGAUGAUUAGUCAUUUGGGAUGGAAAAGGAUUAACAACGGUUAUUGUGAACUAAAGGCGCAUUAUUUACAUCGCACACGCCUGAGUAAGUAAACUGGGAGGACAAUACAUCUCUGUCUUUAAUGGAGCUCAGUUACAUUCACUUAUUGUCUAUUUAGACAUUUGUAUUUUC